This 472-nucleotide ribosomal RNA is filed under the name uncultured bacterium. RNAcentral's name for it is "bacterial SSU rRNA". It matches the Rfam family "Bacterial small subunit ribosomal RNA", at positions 355 to 825 of the family's 1533-position model. The record is from RNAcentral.
UGGGGAAUAUUGGACAAUGGGCGCAAGCCUGAUCCAGCCAUGCCGCGUGCGGGAAGAAGGCCUUCGGGUUGUAAACCGCUUUUGUCAGGGAAGAAACGCUCUGGGCUAAUACCCUAGGGUAAUGACGGUACCUGAAGAAUAAGCACCGGCUAACUACGUGCCAGCAGCCGCGGUAAUACGUAGGGUGCAAGCGUUAAUCGGAAUUACUGGGCGUAAAGCGUGCGCAGGCGGUUAUGCAAGACAGAUGUGAAAUCCCCGGGCUCAACCUGGGAACUGCAUUUGUGACUGUAUAGCUAGAGUACGGUAGAGGGGGAUGGAAUUCCGCGUGUAGCAGUGAAAUGCGUAGAUAUGCGGAGGAACACCGAUGGCGAAGGCAAUCCCCUGGACCUGUACUGACGCUCAUGCACGAAAGCGUGGGGAGCAAACAGGAUUAGAUACCCGUGUAGUCCCUGAGCGGGCUGGCAAGGCGCAU